AUACAUGCAGUCGAACGGUAAGGCUUCUUUCGGAAGACACGAGUGGCGCACGGGUGCGUAGCACGUAUGCAACCUACCCUUUAGAGGAGGAUAGUCAUUGGAAACGAUGAAUAAUACUCCAUGUUAUUAUAAGAUCGCAUGAUCUAAUAAUCAAAGCUCCGGCGCUAAAGGAUGGGCAUGCGCCCCAUUAGCUAGUUGGUGAAGUAAUGGUUUACCAAGGCAACGAUGGGUAGCUGGUCUGAGAGGAUGAUCAGCCACACGGGCACUGAGACACGGGCCCGACUCCUACGGGAGGCAGCAGUAAGGAAUAUUGGUCAAUGGGGGCAACCCUGAACCAGCCAUGCCGCGUGCAGGACGACGGCCCUCUGGGUUGUAAACUGCUUUUAUCUGGGAAUAAUUCGCUUCUAUACGAAGUUUUGUAGGUACCAGAAGAAUAAGCACCGGCUAACUACGUGCCAGCAGCCGCGGUAAUACGUAGGGUGCAAGCGUUGUCCGGAUUUAUUGGGUUUAAGGGUGCGCAGGCGGCUUUUUAAGUUAGUGGUGAAAUCGUCCGGCUUAACCGGAUACCCGCCAUUGAUACUGGCUAACUUGAGUACGUCUGAGGAGAUUAGAAUGCGUGGUGUAGCGGUGAAAUGCAUAGAUAUCACGCAGAAUACCGAUUGCGAAGGCAGAUCUCUAAGGCGGAACUGACGCUGAGGCACGAAAGCGUGGGUAGCGAACAGGAUUAGAUACCCUGGUAGUCCACGCUGUAAACGAUGAUUACUAGAUGUUCGGAUUUCGGUCUGAGUGUCCAAGCGAAAGCGAUAAGUAAUCCACCUGGGGAGUACGUUCGCAAGAAUGAAACUCAAAGGAAUUGACGGGGGCCCGCACAAGCGGUGGAGCAUGUGGUUUAAUUCGAUCAUACGCGAGGAACCUUACCUGGACUAGAAUGCCCUUGACCACUCAUGAAAGUGAGAUUUCCUUCGGGACAAGGUGCAAGGUGCUGCAUGGUUGUCGUCAGCUCGUGCCGUGAGGUGUUGGGUUAAGUCCCGCAACGAGCGCAACCCCUAUCAUUAGUUGCCAUCAGGUUAAGCUGGGAACUCUAAUGAGACUGCCUACGCAAGUAGAGAGGAAGGUGGGGACGACGUCAAAUCAUCAUGGCCCUUACGCCUAGGGCUACACACGUACUACAAUGGUUGGUACAAAGAGCAGCGAGCUAGUAAUAGCAAGCGAAUCUCAUAAAGCCAAUCUCAGUUCGGAUUGGGGUAUGCAACUCGACCCCAUGAAGUUGGAAUCGCUAGUAAUCGCGUAUCAGCAAUGACGCGGUGAAUACGUUCCCGGACCUUGUACACACCGCCCGUCAAGCCAUGGAAGUCGAGGGUACCUGAAGACGACUUUAACACUCGCCUAGGGUAAAACUGGUAACUGGGGCUAAGUCGUAACAAGGUAACCAAGGGCGAAUUC
This 1443-nucleotide ribosomal RNA is filed under the name uncultured prokaryote. Its description in RNAcentral is "partial 16S ribosomal RNA". It matches the Rfam family "Bacterial small subunit ribosomal RNA". The record is from RNAcentral.